GGAACGGCAUGGGAGGGCCGGCCGCAGCGGGUGACAGCCCCGUACGCGAACCCAGACCGGACGGCGCGACGCGGUCCCUGAGUAGGGCCGGGCACGUGAAACCCGGUCCGAACCUGGGUGGACCACCAUCCAAGCCUGAGUACUACCCUGUGACCGAUAGCGCACCAGUACCGUGAGGGAAAGGUGAAAAGCACCCCGGGAGGGGAGUGAAACAGUACCUGAAACCGUGCGCCCACGAGCAGUCGGAGCACCUUUAUGGUGUGACGGCGUGCCUUUUGUAGAAUGAGCCAGCGAGUCGCUGGCGCGGGGCGAGGUUAACCGAAAGGGAGCCGGAGCGAAAGCGAGCCUUAACAGGGCGACUUGAGUCCCGCGCCGCGGACGCGAAGCCGGGUGAGCUAUCCGUGGGCAGGCUGAAGCGGGGGUAAGACCCCGUGGAGGGCCGAACGCACGUCGGUUGAAAACGGCGGCGAUGACCUGCGGAUAGGGGUGAAAGGCCAAUCAAACCCGGAGAUAUCUCGUUCUCCCCGAAAUAGCUUUAGGGCUAGCGUCGCGCGUUCACCGCCGGAGGUAGAGCACCGGAUGGACGAGGGGGCUUCGCCGCCUACCGAAUCCAACCGAACUCCGAAUGCCGGCGGCCCAGAGCGCGGCAGUCAGAGCAUGUGGGCUAAGCUGUGUGCUCGAGAGGGAAACAGCCCGGACCGCCCGCUAAGGUCCCCAAGUUCCAGCCGAGUGGCAAAGGAUGUGCGUCCGCCCAGACAACCAGGAUGUUGGCUUAGAAGCAGCCAUCCAUUCAAAGAGUGCGUAACAGCUCACUGGUCGAGUGGACAUGCGCCGACAAUACACGGGGCUAAGCUGGACACCGAAGCGGCGGGAUUUUAAUUCAUUAGAAUCGGUAGGGGAGCUUCCCAUGGGCGGAGAAGCCGGAGGGCGACCGACGGUGGAGCGCAUGGGAGUGAGAAUGCUGGCAUGAGUAGCGAGAGACGAGAGAGUAACUCGUCCGCCGUGAACCCGAGGUUUCCUGGGCAAGGCUAAUCCUCCCAGGGUCAGUCGGGGGCUAAGGCGAGGCCGGUAGGCGUAGCCGACGCGCAGCAGGCAGACAUUCCUGCACCGCGCACGCGGCGCUACGACCGACGGGGCGACGGAUGGGGGUGGCUCGGCGGGGUUCUGGACGUCCCCGUGAUGGAGCGCGGCCCGCGGACCAGGGAAAUCCGGUCCGCAGAAGGGCGAGGCUCCGGACGAAGCGACUGAGCGAAGCGAGUGAGCCCGAGGUCCCUAGAAAAACCCCUAGGCAGGCGCGUGCGCGCCCGUACCGCAAACCGACACAGGUGGGUGGGUAGAACAUACCGAGGCGAUCGGGUCAACCAUGGUCAAGGAACUCGGCACAAUGGCCCCGUAACUUCGGGAGAAGGGGUGCCCGCGCGUACGUGAACCGGCUUGCCCGGGGAGCGGAGGCGGGCCGCAGUGGAGAGGCCCAAGCGACUGUUUACCAAAAACACAGGACUCUGCAGAAGCCGCAAGGCGACGUAUAGGGUCUGACGCCUGCCCGGUGCCGGAAGGUCACGCGGAGGAGUUAGCCAUUUCGGCGAAGCCCCGAAGCCAAGCCCCGGUAAACGGCGGCCGUAACUAUAACGGUCCUAAGGUAGCGAAAUUCCUUGUCGGGUAAGUUCCGACCUGCACGAAAGGCGCAACGACUUGGGCGCUGUCUCGACCAUGGACCCGGUGAAAUUGCACUGGUCGUGAAGAUGCGACUUACCCGCGGAAGGACGGAAAGACCCCGUGAACCUUCACUGCAGCUUGGCAUUGGCCGCUGGUCCCGCGUGUAGAGGAUAGGCAGGAGGCUAAGAUCCGGAGGCGCCAGCCCCCGGGGAGCCGCCCUUGGAAUACUGCCCUCGCGCGACCGGCGUCCUAACCCGAGGCCGUCAACCGGCUCGGGGACCGUGCCAGGCGGGCAGUUUGACUGGGGCGGUCGCCUCCUAAAGGGUAACGGAGGCGCGCGAAGGUCCGCUCGGGACGGUCGGCAACCGUCCUUUUGAAUGCAAGAGUACAAGCGGGCUUGACUGCGAGGCCCACAAGCCGAGCAGGUGCGAAAGCAGGCUCUAGUGAUCCGGCGGCCCCGAGUGGGUGGGCCGUCGCUCAACGGAUAAAAGGUACUCCGGGGAUAACA
RNAcentral lists this ribosomal RNA (2164 nucleotides) under human gut metagenome. Its description in RNAcentral is "bacterial LSU rRNA". It matches the Rfam family "Bacterial large subunit ribosomal RNA", at positions 334 to 2479 of the family's 2925-position model. The record is from RNAcentral.